Molecule: ribosomal RNA, 450 nt
Filed under: uncultured bacterium
Lineage: Bacteria
Description: partial 16S ribosomal RNA
Rfam family: Bacterial small subunit ribosomal RNA
Source: RNAcentral
GUGGGGAAUCUUCCGCAAUGGACGAAAGUCUGACGGAGCGACGCCGCGUGAGUGAAGAAGGCCUUCGGGUCGUAAAGCUCUGUCAUCAGGGACGAAUGGCCGGUGGAGUGGAAAGCCACCGGAUUGACGGUACCUGAGAAGGAAGCCACGGCUAACUACGUGCCAGCAGCCGCGGUAAUACGUAGGUGGCAAGCGUUGUCCGGAAUUAUUUGGCGUAAAGCGCGCGCAGGUGGGAUCUUAAGUCCAUUUUGAAAGUUCGGAGCUCAACUCCGUGAUGGGAUGGAAACUGGGAUUCUUGAGUACCGGAGAGGAAAGCGGAAUUCCCCGUGUAGCGGUGAAAUGCGUAGAUAUGGGGAGGAACACCAGUGGCGAAGGCGGCUUUCUGGACGGUGUCUGACACUGAGGCGCGAAAGCCAGGGGAGCGAACGGGAUUAGAAACCCGUGUAGUCC